Molecule: ribosomal RNA, 548 nt
Filed under: Gobius cruentatus (red-mouthed goby)
Lineage: Eukaryota; Metazoa; Chordata; Actinopteri; Gobiiformes; Gobiidae
Description: partial 16S ribosomal RNA
Rfam family: Bacterial large subunit ribosomal RNA
Source: RNAcentral
AGGUCCCGCCUGCCCUGUGACGAAAGUUUAACGGCCGCGGUAUUUUAACCGUGCGAAGGUAGCGUAAUCACUUGUCUUUUAAAUGAAGACCUGUAUGAAUGGCAUAACGAGGGCCACGCUGUCUCCUUUAUCUAGUCAAUGAAAUUGAUCUGCCCGUGCAGAAGCGGGCAUACCCCCAUAAGACGAGAAGACCCUAUGGAGCUUUAGACACUAAGGCAGGCCGAGUUAAGAACCCUGAAUCAUCAGGAACGAACCCAGCGGCCCUACUGCUUAACUGUCUUCGGUUGGGGCGACCGCGGAGAAAAACAAAACCUCCGCACGGUAUGGAAUAAGAACCCUGAGAUGAGGCUUUCAGGCCUAAUCACCAGAAAAUCUGACCACAAGGACCCGGCAACGCCGAUCAACGGACCCAGUUACCCUAGGGAUAACAGCGCAAUCCCCUUUUAGAGCUCACAUCGACAAGGGGGUUUACGACCUCGAUGUUGGAUCAGGACUUCCUAAUGGUGCAGCCGCUAUUAAGGGUUCGUUUGUUCAACGAUUAAAGUCCU